UGCGUAGGCGGCGUUGUAAGUCAGAUGUGAAAGCCCACCGCUUAACGGUGGAACUGCAUUUGAUACUGCAGUGCUUGAAUCAGGCUGAGGUCAGCGGAAUGUGUCAUGUAGCGGUGAAAUGCAUAGAUAUGACAUAGAACACCAAUUGCGAAGGCAGCUGGCUAGACCUGUAUUGACGCUGAGGCACGAAAGCGUGGGGAGCGAACAGGAUUAGAUACCCUGGUAGUCC
RNAcentral lists this ribosomal RNA (229 nucleotides) under uncultured bacterium. Its description in RNAcentral is "partial 16S ribosomal RNA". It matches the Rfam family "Bacterial small subunit ribosomal RNA", at positions 568 to 796 of the family's 1533-position model. The record is from RNAcentral.